GUCUAUGGCCAUACCACCCUGAACACGCCCGAUCUAGUCUGAUCUCGGAAGCUAAGCAGGGUCGUGCCUGGUUAGUACUUGGAUGGGAUGAAGUGAAUCUCCUGGAAUGGAAU
Molecule: ribosomal RNA, 113 nt
Filed under: Erinaceus europaeus (western European hedgehog)
Lineage: Eukaryota; Metazoa; Chordata; Mammalia; Eulipotyphla; Erinaceidae
Source: RNAcentral